AUUGAACGCUGGCGGCAGGCCUAACACAUGCAAGUCGAGCGGAUGAAGGGAGCUUGCUCCUGGAUUCAGCGGCGGACGGGUGAGUAAUGCCUAGGAAUCUGCCUGGUAGUGGGGGAUAACGUCCGGAAACGGGCGCUAAUACCGCAUACGUCCUGAGGGAGAAAGUGGGGGAUCUUCGGACCUCACGCUAUCAGAUGAGCCUAGGUCGGAUUAGCUAGUUGGUGGGGUAAAGGCCUACCAAGGCGACGAUCCGUAACUGGUCGGAGAGGAUGAUCAGUCACACGGGAAGGGAGACACGGUCCAGAGGCCUACGGGAGGCAGCAGUGGGGAAUAUUGGGCAAUGGGCGGAAGCCUGGUCCAGCGGUGCCGCGUGUGUGAAGAAGGUCUUCGGAUUGGAAAGCACGUUAAGUUGGGAGGAAGGGCAGUAAGUUAAUACCUUGCUGUUGUGACGUUACCAACAGAAUAAGCACCGGCUAACUUCGUG
RNAcentral lists this ribosomal RNA (484 nucleotides) under uncultured bacterium. Its description in RNAcentral is "partial 16S ribosomal RNA". It matches the Rfam family "Bacterial small subunit ribosomal RNA", at positions 29 to 507 of the family's 1533-position model. The record is from RNAcentral.